RNAcentral lists this long non-coding RNA (442 nucleotides) under Canis lupus familiaris (dog). RNAcentral's name for it is "lncRNA (ENSCAFG00030009652.1)". Lineage: Eukaryota; Metazoa; Chordata; Mammalia; Carnivora; Canidae. The record is from RNAcentral.
UAGCAUAGAAUUACAGCAGUGAUUAUUCUCUUUCUGGAUAAUAUCAGGGCUUAAAUGCUUGUAUUUCAGCCCAGAGUAGAAACACAGACACUCACACACAACUAAUUGUGUCUCCAAAUAAUCAGAAAGGUUUGCUCAAUGUUACAUAUACAACCAUUGAGAACAAUCCCAAAAUGAGGUGCUCCUGAAAAAAAUACUACAAUGUCUCUGUAUUUGUAUCACUUCUAAGAUCAUAGAUGCAGAACCGUAGUAAACUCAUAGAAGAAGGAAGGAAAAGCAUUGAAGCCAUAAAAGGUUGAUGCACCUGGUACACGGAAGGGCCAGUUGAAGUGAGACUAUGAUCCCAUCACUUCCAUGUAUGAGCUCUCCCUUUAUUGGAUGUGCAACUCUGGACCAUUCAUUAAAACUCUCAUCUUGAUGAUCUUAAAAUUGUUAUCUCCUG